Molecule: non-coding RNA, 108 nt
Organism: Acanthosepion pharaonis
Lineage: Eukaryota; Metazoa; Mollusca; Cephalopoda; Sepiida; Sepiidae
Source: the annotation of a GenBank genome assembly
CCGUAUCCCGUUGAAACACCGGUUCUCAUCCUAUUACUGAAGUAAAGCAACGUUGUAUCUGGUUAGUACCUAGAUGUGUGACCACUUGGAAAAACCAGGGACUGUAAG